Molecule: ribosomal RNA, 464 nt
Filed under: Vreelandella stevensii
Lineage: Bacteria; Pseudomonadati; Pseudomonadota; Gammaproteobacteria; Oceanospirillales; Halomonadaceae
Description: partial 16S ribosomal RNA
Rfam family: Bacterial small subunit ribosomal RNA
Source: RNAcentral
CCUACGGUGUGCUGCAGUGGGGAAUAUUGGACAAUGGGCGAAAGCCUGAUCCAGCCAUGCCGCGUGUGUGAAGAAGGCCUUCGGGUUGUAAAGCACUUUCAGUGGGGAAGAAAGCCUUGGGGCUAAUACCCUCGAGGAAGGACAUCACCCACAGAAGAAGCACCGGCUAACUCCGUGCCAGCAGCCGCGGUAAUACGGAGGGUGCGAGCGUUAAUCGGAAUUACUGGGCGUAAAGCGCGCGUAGGCGGUCUGAUAAGCCGGUUGUGAAAGCCCGGGCUCAACCUGGGAACGGCAUCCGGAACUGUCAGGCUAGAGUGCAGGAGAGGAAGGUAGAAUUCCCGGUGUAGCGGUGAAAUGCGUAGAGAUCGGGAGGAAUACCAGUUGCGAAGGCGGCCUUCUGGACUGACACUGACGCUGAGGUGCGAAAGCGUGGGUAGCAAACAGGAUUAGAUCCCCCGGUAGUC